AAGAGCACACGCGCGCUUUCCGGCGCGCCCACCAUCGUCCCCGAGCGCAGCGUCAUGCGUCGAGAGCGUGUAUUGUUGUCGUUGUUGUUGUCGUUGUUGUUACUGCUGCCGUCGCUGCCAUGACUGCGGUCAAUGAAAGACGACAUGCGCACAUCACGACCAUCGUUGUCCUUGUCCACACUGGCGGCGCGUCGUUGGGACGCGUUGUCGAGCGGGUGCGCCGAUGACGCGCUAAAUGUUGCGAGUAUGCUGGCGCGGCGCGCAAUGCCCGAGACGUCACCGUCGUAGCGCACCGACGCGAUUUUCGCAUCGCGCAAAAAGCCCUCGGCAAGGUCGAGACAUGCGGUCCAUUGCGAAAAGACCACGAUGCGCGCGGUGGAAUCGCUCGCCAGUGCCCGGGCGCAAUAGUCGACAAGGGCGCGCAUCUUGGUGCUGGGCCGCGGUCGCGCUGGAUCGGCGUCUGCGUUCCAUCGCGCGACGGCGGCGCACGCAAGACACGACGAGCCCGCGCGAGAGGAGGAUGGAACGUCGUCUGCCGUUCCCGGCGCACACAAGGCACAGAGGCGAUGACCGCACGACGCCAUGAUCCCCGGUCCGCCGCCCGCUGGAUCGUCGUCGGCCGGACGCGCGCAGCAGCCACAGCGCGAGUUCUGGGCUGUGCCGUCGCGCCACCCGCGCCCCAUGGCCAGGAGCGGAUGGUUGCACGCCUGGCGCAAACGGCCCACCCAUGCGAGUACGGCGCCAAACAUGCGCGGUUUGGCGCGGUCCUUUGGCGGCGCUGCGGCAAAGGCCCCAUAGGCGCGCAGGGCCGAACGCACCAGAUCGUUGUAAAAAACGCGCUCUGCGCUGUCCAUGCGCACGCGCAUGCUCGACGCCGUGCACGCCGGAAGAGUGUCCUUGAGCACGAUACGCUUGUCGCGCAUGAGCACAAACUGGCGUGUCCAUCUUUCAACGCGCCCGUCUGUCGAUGGCUCCGGUCCGCCGGGCGAUGUCUCCCACCAGGCGCCGUCGCGGUAGGGCGCCACGCCGACGAACCGCGCCAGGGCCUGAAGAUCGCGGCACGAGUUGUUGUACGGCGUGCCCGUCACACACCAACGCCGUGGCGCGCGCAGUGCCAACACCGCGUCGUGGAUGGCGCUCCCCGGCGUGCGGAUGCGAUGCGCCUCGUCGAGCACCACACGAAACCACAGGACGUCAAAAACGUUCGAUAGGGCCUCGCUGUCUGUUUGGCCAUGGUAUCCGCCAAGGGGACCGCGAGUGUCGCGGCUGCCAUGCUGGGGAUGGCGAUAGCAGUGGCCGCGGUGACGUGCGUGUUCGCGCUGGACAAUUUCAUAGGUUGUCAGCACAAACUGCGCCGAGUUGUGCGACGUGGACUGCUCGUCCGUUGCGUCUUUGGCGCAUUGCACGUCGUCGACCCUAGCGGGCGGUGCUCGGUCAUCAGCGGCACCGACCACCUGGCCCAUCACCAAAGGGUGACCUGGUUCUUUGCGCAAAAAGCGCGCGAGCGCGGCCUGCCUGCCGGCGCCAUGGUAGAUCAGCGCCCUCGCUCGGCUCUCUGUGUGCCGCGCGAUUUGAAGGCGCCAUUGGUCCAAGAGACAGAGUGGCGCCACGACCAGCGUGGCCGACGACGUCACACAGAUGUCGCCCACAAAGGCGUGCGCUUUGCGCGGCAGCGCCGGCGACAUGCCCCGCCUCGGCGACUCGCCGUCUGUUUCUGUCGUUGUUGUUGUCGGCGUCGAGACGACGAGGGCGAUGCAGUCGAGCGUCUUGCCCAUGCCCAUGUCGUCGGCAAGAACGCCCCCACCGGGGCAGGACGCGCGUUCACGCGACCGCAUCCAUUCAACGGCCUCGACCUGGUGCGGCAGCAAGGUCGUCGCCAGCCCAUGCAGACGCUGGACGUUGCAUGCACCGCCAUGAUCGGCACUCUCGUCAUGGGUUCGUUGGUCCAUAGUUUGGUGUUUUUUCUCGGCAGCCGUCGCCGUCCACGCGCGCCACAACCGCCACUGUUUUCCUCAUGACUGACAUGGAAAAAAAAGAAGGGACCGUCGGGACUGAUUGCAUCCGAUCGAUGCCUAUGCGACCCAAAGUCGCCAGAGGGUUGUGCGCGCGUGGCGCCAACAUCACCGACGCCGCGGAUCUCUCUCUCUUUCCCCUGUCCAUCUUUCGCGAGAGUGGGAAAAAAAAAGAAGGAUCGUGGCGC
This 2200-nucleotide long non-coding RNA is filed under the name Pandoravirus neocaledonia. Its description in RNAcentral is "hypothetical ncRNA". The record is from RNAcentral.